Molecule: long non-coding RNA, 337 nt
Filed under: Crocodylus porosus (Australian saltwater crocodile)
Lineage: Eukaryota; Metazoa; Chordata; Crocodylia; Crocodylidae
Description: lncRNA (ENSCPRG00005003753.1)
Source: RNAcentral
CAUGAAAAAAGUGACUGACACAAUAUUUUGCUCCAGGUGGGAAUAAAAGGCAACCACUUUCCUGGCCCUUCAUGAUCUAGUUAAGCACUUGAAUGACAGAAUGUUGGCACCAGCACUGGAAGAACUAAUCAGCCUCAACUCCAGAUCUCUGUCCUGAGACACAACAACAGGAUGUGCCUUGGAGAAGAUGUGAUUGGACUUCUGUCUUCAACUGAUGAUUCUUUUUAUUAUUAUCAAGCACUAAAGAUGAAUAUGUAUUUCAGUAAUUUAGAAAAUGUAACUGCACAAGCUUUUUCAUAUGAUUUAAUAUCAUGCAAAGAUAUAUAUUUUGUAUACA